RNAcentral lists this ribosomal RNA (301 nucleotides) under uncultured bacterium. RNAcentral describes it as "partial 16S ribosomal RNA". It matches the Rfam family "Bacterial small subunit ribosomal RNA", at positions 509 to 809 of the family's 1533-position model. The record is from RNAcentral.
CAGCCGCCGCGGUAAUACGUAGGUGGCAAGCGUUGUCCGGAAUUAUUGGGCGUAAAGGGCUCGCAGGCGGUUUCUUAAGUCUGAUGUGAAAGCCCCCGGCUCAACCGGGGAGGGUCAUUGGAAACUGGGAGACUUGAGUGCAGAAGAGGAGAGUGGAAUUCCACGUGUAGCGGUGAAAUGCGUAGAGAUGUGGAGGAACACCAGUGGCGAAGGCGACUCUCUGGUCUGUAACUGACGCUGAGGAGCGAAAGCGUGGGGAGCGAACAGGAUUAGAUACCCGGGUAGUCCCUGUCUCUUAUAA